GUCCACGCCGUAAACUAUGAUUACUCGAUAUUGGCGAUACACAGUCAGUGUCUAAGCGAAAGUGAUAAGUAAUCCACCUGGGGAGUACGUUGGCAACAAUGAAACUCAAAGGAAUUGACGGGGGCCCGCACAAGCGGUGGAGCAUGUGGUUUAAUUCGAUGAUACGCGAGGAACCUUACCAGGGCUUAAAUGUAAGUUGACAGAUCUGGAAACAGAUUUUUCUUCGGACAAUUUACAAGGUGC
Molecule: ribosomal RNA, 243 nt
Filed under: uncultured bacterium
Lineage: Bacteria
Description: partial 16S ribosomal RNA
Rfam family: Bacterial small subunit ribosomal RNA
Source: RNAcentral